RNAcentral lists this ribosomal RNA (492 nucleotides) under uncultured bacterium. RNAcentral's name for it is "partial 16S ribosomal RNA". It matches the Rfam family "Bacterial small subunit ribosomal RNA", at positions 29 to 507 of the family's 1533-position model. The record is from RNAcentral.
AGUGAACGCUGGCGGUAGGCCUAACACAUGCAAGUCGAACGGCAGCACAGUAAGAGCUUGCUCUUACGGGUGGCGAGUGGCGGGCGGGUGAGGAAUACAUCGGAAUCUACUUUUUCGUGGGGGAUAACGUAGGGAAACUUACGCUAAUACCGCAUACGACCCACGGGUGAAAGCAGGGGAUCUUCGGACCUUGCGCGAUUGAAUGAGCCGAUGUCGGAUUAGCUAGUUGGCGGGGUAAAGGCCCACCAAGGCGACGAUCCGUAGCUGGUCUGAGAGGAUGAUCAGCCACACUGGAACUGAGACACGGUCCAGACUCCUACGGGAGGCAGCAGUGGGGAAUAUUGGACAAUGGGCGCAAGCCUGAUCCAGCCAUACCGCGUGGGUGAAGAAGGCCUUCGGGUUGUAAAGCCCUUUUGUUGGGAAAGAAAAGCAGCAGGUUAAUACCCCGCUGUUCUGACGGUACCCAAAGAAUAAGCACCGGCUAACUUCGUG